UGGGGAAUAUUGGACAAUGGGCGGAAGCCUGAUCCAGCAACGCCGCGUGAGGGAUGACGGCCUUCGGGUUGUAAACCUCUUUCAGUACCGACGAAGCGAAAGUGACGGUAGGUACAGAAGAAGGACCGGCCAACUACGUGCCAGCAGCCGCGGUAAUACGUAGGGUCCGAGCGUUGUCCGGAAUUAUUGGGCGUAAAGGGCUCGUAGGCGGUUUGUCGCGUCGGGAGUGAAAACAGCGGGCUUAACUCGUUGCUUGCUUUCGAUACGGGCAGACUAGAGGUAUGCAGGGGAGAAUGGAAUUCCUGGUGUAGCGGUGAAAUGCGCAGAUAUCAGGAGGAACACCGGUGGCGAAGGCGGUUCUCUGGGCAUUACCUGACGCUGAGGAGCGAAAGUGUGGGGAGCGAACAGGAUUAGAUACCCUGGUAGUCCACACCGUAAACGUUGGGCGCUAGGUGUGGGGUCCUUUCCACGGAUUCCGUGCCGUAGCUAACGCAUUAAGCG
Molecule: ribosomal RNA, 501 nt
Filed under: uncultured bacterium
Lineage: Bacteria
Description: partial 16S ribosomal RNA
Rfam family: Bacterial small subunit ribosomal RNA
Source: RNAcentral